GGAAGAUUGCUUGAGCUCAGGGGGUGGAAGCUGCAGUGAAUUCUGAUCACGCCACUGCACUCCAGCCUGAGUGACAGAGCAAGGCCCUGUCUCA
RNAcentral lists this microRNA precursor (94 nucleotides) under Mandrillus leucophaeus (drill). RNAcentral's name for it is "miRNA (ENSMLEG00000008787.1)". The record is from RNAcentral. Lineage: Eukaryota; Metazoa; Chordata; Mammalia; Primates; Cercopithecidae.